Molecule: ribosomal RNA, 467 nt
Filed under: uncultured bacterium
Lineage: Bacteria
Description: partial 16S ribosomal RNA
Rfam family: Bacterial small subunit ribosomal RNA
Source: RNAcentral
GACGAACGCUGGCGGCGUGCUUAACACAUGCAAGUCGAACGGAAAGGCCCUGCUUUUGUGGGGUGCUCGAGUGGCGAACGGGUGAGUAACACGUGAGUAACCUGCCCUUGACUUUGGGAUAACUUCAGGAAACUGGGGCUAAUACCGGAUAGGAGCUCCUGCUGCAUGGUGGGGGUUGGAAAGUUUCGGCGGUUGGGGAUGGACUCGCGGCUUAUCAGCUUGUUGGUGGGGUAGUGGCUUACCAAGGCUUUGGCGGGUAGCCGGCCUGAGAGGGUGACCGGCCACAUUGGGACGGAGAUACGGCCCAGACUCCUACGGGAGGCAGCAGUGGGGAAUAUUGCACAAUGGGCGGAAGCCUGAUGCAGCAACGCCGCGUGCGGGAUGACGGCCUUCGGGUUGUAAACCGCUUUCGCCUGUGACGAAGCGUGAGUGACGGUAAUGGGUAAAGAAGCACCGGCUAACUACGU